RNAcentral lists this ribosomal RNA (253 nucleotides) under uncultured bacterium. RNAcentral's name for it is "partial 16S ribosomal RNA". It matches the Rfam family "Bacterial small subunit ribosomal RNA", at positions 524 to 776 of the family's 1533-position model. The record is from RNAcentral.
UACGUAGGGGGCAAGCGUUGUCCGGAAUCAUUGGGCGUAAAGAGCGUGUAGGCGGCCCGCUAAGUCCGCUGUGAAAGUCCAGGGCUCAACCCUGGGAUGCCGGUGGAUACUGUCGGGCUCGAGUCCGGAAGAGGAGUGUGGAAUUCCUGGUGUAGCGGUGAAAUGCGCAGAUAUCAGGAAGAACACCCGUGGCGAAGGCGGCUCUCUAGUACGGUACUGACGCUGAGACGCGAAAGCGUGGGGAGCGAACAGG